This 595-nucleotide unclassified non-coding RNA is filed under the name Aspergillus flavus. Its description in RNAcentral is "sequence contains ITS1, 5.8S rRNA gene and ITS2". The stretch from base 188 to 341 matches the Rfam family "5.8S ribosomal RNA". Lineage: Eukaryota; Fungi; Ascomycota; Eurotiomycetes; Eurotiales; Aspergillaceae. The record is from RNAcentral.
GAGGGAAUAGUAGCGGAGGAAACUAGCGAGCCCACCUCCCCCCGUGUUUUCUGUCCCUUAGUUGCUUCGGCGGGCCCGCCCUUCAUGGCCGCCGGGGGCUCUCAGCCCCGGGCCCGCGCCCGCCGGAGACACCACGAACUCUGUCUGAUCUAGUGAAGUCUGAGUUGAUUGUAUCGCAAUCAGUUAAAACUUUCAACAAUGGAUCUCUUGGUUCCGGCAUCGAUGAAGAACGCAGCGAAAUGCGAUAACUAGUGUGAAUUGCAGAAUUCCGUGAAUCAUCGAGUCUUUGAACGCACAUUGCGCCCCCUGGUAUUCCGGGGGGCAUGCCUGUCCGAGCGUCAUUGCUGCCCAUCAAGCACGGCUUGUGUGUUGGGUCGUCGUCCCCUCUCCGGGGGGGACGGGCCCCAAAGGCAGCGGCGGCACCGCGUCCGAUCCUCGAGCGUAUGGGGCUUUGUCACCCGCUCUGUAGGCCCGGCCGGCGCUUGCCGAACGCAAAUCAAUCUUUUUCCAGGUUGACCUCGGAUCAGGUAGGGAUACCCGCUGAACUUAAGCAUAUCAAUAAGCCGGAGGAAAAAAAAAAAACAAAAACCGGCCU